GCACUCACUUCGGCAGCACAAAUACUAAAAUUGGAACAAUACAGAGAUUAGCAUGGCCCCUGAGCAAGGAUGAUAUGCAAAUUUGUGAAGUGUUCCAUAUUUUA
This 104-nucleotide small nuclear RNA is filed under the name Castor canadensis (American beaver). Lineage: Eukaryota; Metazoa; Chordata; Mammalia; Rodentia; Castoridae. The record is from RNAcentral.